RNAcentral lists this ribosomal RNA (253 nucleotides) under uncultured bacterium. RNAcentral's name for it is "partial 16S ribosomal RNA". It matches the Rfam family "Bacterial small subunit ribosomal RNA", at positions 524 to 776 of the family's 1533-position model. The record is from RNAcentral.
UACGUAGGGUGCAAGCGCUGUCCGGAAUUAUUGGGCGUAAAGAGCUCGUAGGCGGUCUGUCGCGUCGGCUGUGAAAUCCCGAGGCUCAACCUCGGGUCUGCAGUCGAUACGGGCAAACUAGAGUAUUGCAGGGGAGACUGGAAUUCCUGGUGUAGCGGUGAAAUGCGCAGAUAUCAGGAGGAACACCGGUGGCGAAGGCGGGUCUCUGGGCAAUAACUGACGCUGAGGAGCGAAAGCGUGGGGAGCGAACAGG